Molecule: long non-coding RNA, 235 nt
Filed under: Pan troglodytes (chimpanzee)
Lineage: Eukaryota; Metazoa; Chordata; Mammalia; Primates; Hominidae
Description: long non-coding RNA NONPTRT003163
Source: RNAcentral
UAGCACGUUGAUAAUAGUAAUGAAUUGCACCAAUUGAUUAUGAAUGAUCAUGGGCUUUCAAGACAUAUAGGUAAUUUUAAAAUUGAACACCAGCCUUGUGUUUCUAGUCCUGGCUCAGCCACUGACUAAUUGUGUAACUUGUGGAAAGUCACUAAAUCUGUCUGGGCCUUAACUUCCUUAUCUUUGAAAUGAAGAUGUUGGACUAGUUAAUGUCUAAGUGUGUUCCUGAAUUAAA